Molecule: ribosomal RNA, 433 nt
Filed under: uncultured bacterium
Lineage: Bacteria
Description: partial 16S ribosomal RNA
Rfam family: Bacterial small subunit ribosomal RNA
Source: RNAcentral
AACGAACGCUGGCGGCAUGCCUAACACAUGCAAGUCGAACGAGACCUUCGGGCCUAGUGGCGCACGGGUGCGUAACGCGUGGGAACCUGCCCUUAGGUUCGGAAUAACUCCCCGAAAGGGGUCUUAAUACCGGAUAAUCUCUUCGGACCAAAGAGUUAUGGCCUUUGGAUGGGCCCGCGUUGGAUUAGCUAGUUGGUAGGGUAAAAGCCUACCAAGGCGACGAUCCAUAGCUGGUCUGAGAGGAGGAUCAGCCACACUGGGACUGAGACACGGCCCAGACUCCUACGGGAGGCAGCAGUGGGGAAUAUUGGACACGGGGCGCAAGCCUGAUCCAGCAAUGCCGCGUGAGUGAUGAAGGGCUUAGGGUUGUAAAGCUCUUUUACCCGGGAUGAUAAUGACAGUACCGGGAGAAUAAGCUCCGGCUAACUCCGUG